UACGUAGGUCCCGAGCGUUGUCCGGAUUUAUUGGGCGUAAAGCGAGCGCAGGUGGUUUAUUAAGUCUGGUGUAAAAGGCAGUGGCUCAACCAUUGUAUGCAUUGGAAACUGGUUUUCUUGAGUGAAGUAGAGGUUGGCGGAAUUCCGAGUGUAGCGGUGAAAUGCGUAGAUAUUCGGAGGAACACCGGUGGCGAAGGCGGCCAACUGGGCUUUAACUGACGCUGAGGCUCGAAAGUGUGGGGAGCAAACAGG
RNAcentral lists this ribosomal RNA (252 nucleotides) under uncultured bacterium. RNAcentral's name for it is "partial 16S ribosomal RNA". It matches the Rfam family "Bacterial small subunit ribosomal RNA", at positions 524 to 776 of the family's 1533-position model. The record is from RNAcentral.